This 357-nucleotide ribosomal RNA is filed under the name Triticum aestivum (bread wheat). Its description in RNAcentral is "partial small subunit ribosomal RNA". Lineage: Eukaryota; Viridiplantae; Streptophyta; Magnoliopsida; Poales; Poaceae. The record is from RNAcentral.
AUGGGGGAUUCUCUUGAAUUAUGGAACCACACCAAAGAGGCUUGUGCCUCUCUUGUUCUGAAUAACAGGAAAGAUGAGGCUGUAUGGACUCUGACAAAGAAUGGCAUUUAUUCUGUCAAGUCUUUCUAUAGACAUUUGAUUGAAAAUGGGGUUAAAUAUCCACAUUUCUUUAUGUGGAAAGUUAAAAUGCCACCUAGGGUGGAAGUUUUCAUGUGGCUAACUCUCAGAAAUAGUAUUCUUACUAAAAAUAACUUGCUCCGCAGAGGUUGGAGAGGUGAUAAUACGUGCCCCUUUUGUGGAAGGGAUGAAACUAUUAAUCAUCUUUCCUUCACCUGCUCGGUUGCGCGUUUACUCUGA